GCACCUUUGUCAAAAACGAGUUCACUGUUUUGAUAUCAAGAUUACACAGAUCUCACAAAACAUCAUGAUAAGGUAUUGUUAUGCUGUCCAGCACAGGCUGGUGUCUAACUCCUGGAUUAAAGCCAUCCUCCCUCCUCAGCUUCUCGAGUAUCUGGGACUACAGAGGUAGACCUCAGAUUGCAGAAGACCAUCAGACCCAAGAGUACAACACACCAGGAUCUGGACUUUCCACUGUUUUUAAAGUUUUCACAGGCUGCAAUCUUCAAACUCUGCCACAAGAAAAACUCCAGAAGUAACUCUGAGGUCUGAUGUUUCACAAGGAAUACCUGUAUACUAUCUACAGGAAGUUGCGCAGGUCCUCCAUUUUCUUGCUUUUUUUGUGUUUUACUUCUUGGAUUACCUCUAAAACUCCGAAUCUCAUCAUCAUCAUUCUUGCUUGGAUUUCGUGACCUGGUCACUGACACACUUCCACAUCUUUCUGCUUUAACGUUCAGCACAAGCUAUAAUCAAUAUGUAUCUAUAUAAAGUCAAUACAUAUCCCUGGCUACGAUGUGAGCUUUUAAGAAAUGGGACUAUGUUCAGGAGAUCAAGACCAUCCUGGCUAACACGGUGAAACCCCAUCUCUACUAAAAGUACAAAAAGAAU
RNAcentral lists this long non-coding RNA (645 nucleotides) under Homo sapiens (human). RNAcentral describes it as "HSALNT0364740". The record is from RNAcentral. Lineage: Eukaryota; Metazoa; Chordata; Mammalia; Primates; Hominidae.